AGAGUUUGAUCCUGGCUCAGGAUGAACGCUAGCUACAGGCUUAACACAUGCAAGUCGAGGGGAAACGAUAGAGAAAGCUUGCUUUUUCUAGGCGUCGACCGGCGCACGGGUGAGUAACGCGUAUCCAACCUGCCCAUCACUUGGGGAUAACCUUGCGAAAGUAAGACUAAUACCCAAUGACGUCUCUAGAAGACAUCUGAAAGAGAUUAAAGAUUUAUCGGUGAUGGAUGGGGAUGCGUCUGAUUAGCUUGUUGGCGGGGUAACGGCCCACCAAGGCGACGAUCAGUAGGGGUUCUGAGAGGAAGGUCCCCCACAUUGGAACUGAGACACGGUCCAAACUCCUACGGGAGGCAGCAGUGAGGAAUAUUGGUCAAUGGGCGAGAGCCUGAACCAGCCAAGUAGCGUGCAGGAAGACGGCCCUAUGGGUUGUAAACUGCUUUUAUACGGGGAUAAAGUGAGUCACGUGUGGCUUAUUGCAGGUACCGUAUGAAUAAGGACCGGCUAAUUCCGUGCCAGCAGCCGCGGUAAUACGGAAGGUCCGGGCGUUAUCCGGAUUUAUUGGGUUUAAAGGGAGCGUAGGCCGUCUGUUAAGCGUGUUGUGAAAUGUCGGGGCUCAACCUGGGCAUUGCAGCGCGAACUGGCAGACUUGAGUGCGCAGGAAGUAGGCGGAAUUCGUCGUGUAGCGGUGAAAUGCUUAGAUAUGACGAAGAACUCCGAUUGCGAAGGCAGCCUGCUGUAGCGUAACUGACGCUGAAGCUCGAAAGCGUGGGUAUCGAACAGGAUUAGAUACCCUGGUAGUCCACGCGGUAAACGAUGGAUGCUCGCUGUUUGCGUCUGACGUAAGCGGCCAAGCGAAAGCGUUAAGUAUCCCACCUGGGGAGUACGAUCGCAAGGUUGAAACUCAAAGGAAUUGACGGGGGCCCGCACAAGCGGUGGAGUAUGUGGUUUAAUUCGAAGCAACGCGAAGAACCUUACCAGGGCUUGACAUCCCGGUGACCGCUCUAGAGAUAGAGCUUUCCCUUCGGGGACGCCGGUGACAGGUGGUGCAUGGUUGUCGUCAGCUCGUGUCGUGAGAUGUUGGGUUAAGUCCCGCAACGAGCGCAACCCCUAUUGUUAGUUGCUACGCAAGAGCACUCUAGCGAGACUGCCGUUGACAAAACGGAGGAAGGUGGGGACGACGUCAAAUCAUCAUGCCCCUUAUGUCCUGGGCCGCACACGUACUACAAUGGUGGUUAACAGAGGGAAGCAAUACCGCGAGGUGGAGCAAAUCCCUAAAAGCCAUCCCAGUUCGGAUUGCAGGCUGAAACCCGCCUGUAUGAAGUUGGAAUCGCUAGUAAUCGCGGAUCAGCAUGCCGCGGUGAAUACGUUCCCGGGCCUUGCACACACCGCCCGUCAAG
This 1397-nucleotide ribosomal RNA is filed under the name uncultured bacterium. RNAcentral's name for it is "bacterial SSU rRNA". It matches the Rfam family "Bacterial small subunit ribosomal RNA". The record is from RNAcentral.